UACAGAGGUCUCAAGCGUUGUUCGGAAUCACUGGGCGUAAAGGGUGCGUAGGUGGCGUGGUAAGUCAGAUGUGAAAGCCCGGGGCUCAACCUCGGAAUUGCAUCCGAUACUGCCGUGCUCGAGUACUGAAGGGGUGACUAGAAUUCUCGGUGUAGCAGUGAAAUGCGUAGAUAUCGAGAGGAAUACCAAAGGCGAAGGCAGGUCACUGGGCAGUUACUGACACUGAGGCACGAAGGCCAGGGGAGCGAACGGGAUUAGAUACCCCGGUAGUCCUGGCAGUAAACGGUGCACACUUGGUGUGGGAGGAUUCGACCCCUCCUGUGCCGGAGCUAACGCGUUAAGUGUGCCGCCUGGGAAGUACGGUCGCAAGAUUA
RNAcentral lists this ribosomal RNA (374 nucleotides) under uncultured prokaryote. RNAcentral's name for it is "bacterial SSU rRNA". It matches the Rfam family "Bacterial small subunit ribosomal RNA", at positions 524 to 896 of the family's 1533-position model. The record is from RNAcentral.